Molecule: small RNA, 90 nt
Filed under: Thioploca ingrica
Lineage: Bacteria; Pseudomonadati; Pseudomonadota; Gammaproteobacteria; Thiotrichales; Thiotrichaceae
Description: t44 RNA
Rfam family: t44 RNA
About the family: This family consists of a number of bacterial RNA genes of between 135 and 170 bases in length.
Source: Rfam by way of RNAcentral
CCCCUCUAGAAACAAUAUCACACAUACAUCGUCACGUAUAUUGGGGUGCUCUUGCCCGGAGUCAAUAUACGGGAUGUAUGGAGGACUAAC